ACCCGUUGAUCCUGCGAGAGAUUGCUGCUAUUGGGGUUCGACUAAGCCAUGCAAGUCUGGUGGUUUUCGGACAAACAAGCAAAAUGCUCAGUAACACGUCGAUAAUCUGCCCUAUGAUCUAUGUCAACCUCGGGAAACUGAGGCUAAGCUUGAUAUGAGAUAAUGACUGGAAUGUCUUUUCUUUGAACAUAGGAUGAGUCGGCGGCUGAUUAGGUUGAUGGAGAGGUAAAGGCUCACCAUGCCUAAGAUCAGUACGGGCCAUGAGAGUGGUAGCCCGGAGAAGGGUACUGAGAGACUGACCCUAGCCCUACGGGGUGCAGCAGGCGCGGAACCUUUACAAUGCACGCAAGUGUGAUAAGGGAACCCCAAGUGCUUAUGUUAUGCAUAGGCUUUUGCUAAGUGUAAAUAACUUAGAGAAUAAGUGGUGGGAAAGACUGGUGCCAGCAGCCGCGGUAACACCAGCGCCACAAGUGGCAAUCAUGUUUAUUGGGCCUAAAGCGUUCGUAGCUGGUUUUGUGUGUCUUUUGUGAAAUCACUGGGCUUAACUCAGUGGCGAGCAAGAGAAACUGCAAUUCUAGGGACCGGGAGGAGUAAGGAGUAUUCUGUGGGGAACGGUAAAAUGUAAUAAUCCACAGAGGACUACCGGUGGCGAAGGCGCCUUACCAGAACGGAUCCGACAGUGAGGGACGAAGGCCAGGGGAGCAAAACGGAUUAGAUACCCGAGUAGUCCUGGCAGUAAACGCUGUGUGCCAGGUGUUGCAUUUCCUUGUGGACGUGCAGUAUCGAAGCGAAGGCAUUAAGCACACCGCCUGGGUAGUACGGUCGCAAGGCUGAAACUUAAAGGAAUUGGCGGGGGAGCACUACAAGGGGUGCAGCGUGCGGUUUAAUCUAACUCUACACAGAAAAUCUCACCAAGGGCGACUGCAGGAUGAAGAUCAAGUUAAUGGCUUUAUCAGACGAGCAGAGAGGUGGUGCAUGGCCGUCGUCAGCUCGUGCCGUAAGGUGUCCUGUUAAGUCAGGUAACGAGCAAGAUCUGCGUCUACUAUUGCCAGCGGAUUCUACGGAAUGACCGGGCACAUUGUAGGGACUGCCUUCGAAAGGAGGAGGAAGGUGCAGGCAACGAUAGGUCUGUAUGCCCCGAAUCUCUUGGGCCACACGCGCGCGACAAUGGAUAGGACAAUGGGCUGCGACCCCGAAAGGGGAAGCUAAUCCUCGAAACCUAUUCCAAGUCUAGAUUGCGGGUUGUAACUCACCCGCAUGACACUGGAAUCCCUAGUAAUUGGAGUUCAUCAAACUCCGGUGAAUAUGUCCCUGCUCCUUGCACACACCGCCCGUCAAACCAACCGAGCAUAGUUUAGGUGAGGCCAUACUUUUGGUAUGUUCGAAUCUAAGUUAAGUGAGGUGGGUUAAGUCGUCACAAGGUA
RNAcentral lists this ribosomal RNA (1424 nucleotides) under metagenome. RNAcentral describes it as "bacterial SSU rRNA". It matches the Rfam family "Archaeal small subunit ribosomal RNA". The record is from RNAcentral.